Felis catus (domestic cat) is the source of this 85-nucleotide transfer RNA. It matches the Rfam family "tRNA". Rfam says of the family: Transfer RNA (tRNA) molecules are approximately 80 nucleotides in length. Their secondary structure includes four short double-helical elements and three loops (D, anti-codon, and T loops). Lineage: Eukaryota; Metazoa; Chordata; Mammalia; Carnivora; Felidae. The record is from Rfam.
GCCUGGCUGGCUCAGUUGGUUAAGCGUCUGACUUCAGUUCAGAUCAUGAUCUCACGGUCCGUGGGUUCGAGCCCCGCGUCGGGCU